CUGGGGCAAAUGGAAUUGAUUGGCUCCACUGUUUAGUCGAUGUGGGAUGCUGUCAGAUUGUAUGCACAAUAAAUUCAACCCAAUAGCAACACACUAUAGUCGGUUUAAUAUGUUUGAUGAGAUCAAUCAUGUUGACAUGGGUAUUGACCGUAAAAUAUUUUAGGAUUUUUACAUUGGAAAUCCGAUUCCAGCCGAGAGAACAUGGUGAUAUGGCAGCUAAUCAAAUUAGCGGAUAUUUGACCAGCUAUUAAUAGUGUUCGGCACAAAUAUGACAUCUGGUUUUCUUCGUCGAAACCUAUUUAAAACCACACAUUGAAGGUUAAUUUGCUGUACAUGCAGAAAACGAGGAGAUUAGCCGCCACUGCACAUACAUGAGAUCUGAGCAGACAGGUUGAUGGAAAAUGCAGGCACCAUCUGGGGGAAACAGCAGCACUGCGGCUGUGAAACGCCGAGCUCAAGCAACUGCCGAAGGUAAACGGAAUAUUUAGAGUUUCAAUUCAAUUUAGAGAUUGCCAAAUUGCGCGGAAAAAAACUAAUUAAGGAAAUUGAAUCGGGGGGAACGUGUGAGAUUUUACAAGCAUUUUUAGAGUGCGUUACAUUUGUCUGGGGUUUAAAACUUGGAUCCACUAGUUAGUAUUAUGUGAAUUAAAUGCAUAUUAAGGGCUUUCCGAUGCCUGUCUAAUAACAUGCUCUUGUGUUUUGAUCGGAUAGAAUCUGGCGAGGUAGAUUCGGGCCGCUGAAACGCAACACCAAGCCCUCAAUGCCGCACAGCUGAAGGUGAGAAGUGGAACCAGUCUCCGGGGAUGUGGCUGGAAAGGUUUGAAUGGAAGAAAAAUUAUCCGAACCCCUGAUGCCCUGCUCUACUAAAGAAGGCGAUGGAAGCUCAUUCAUUUAAGGUUUCUUCAGGAUUCAAAUAUAUCCUCUGGUUGGAAAAUGAGAACUUAUUCUGGUCCAUAUUUGCUGGUGAUCUUCUGCUCAGAUGUCAGAUGUUUGCAAAGCCAAUGUUAGCUUUUGGUGAUUUCCCCUAUGCUGUGGGACUGAGUCUGGUCUCCUGUUGAGUUUUCUUCAGUGAUCUGGGUAAGGUUACUGUGUGCAAAGUCUAAGUAUGGUCGGGUGCAAACUUGGACAACAAGGUAUGUUAAAUCUAAUCCUAUUCAGAAUGUUUUUCAUGGGUUAUCUAAAUAAAAAAAACAUUCUGCUUCCGCCAGUUGGAAGCAGCAAAUAAAGGCAGUAAUACUAAACAGUAGAGACCAGGGAAAUUAUAUCACCUAAAAAUAAAUAAUAAAAAUAAAAUAACAACUGAUUGUGGACAGACUUUGUGUUGAUAGUGGAGAUGUUUUUAACAGUAUACUAUUCUCCACCACUGGACCCCUGCUCUUACACUCCAAAGUGGAGAGAUAAUAGUGUGGGAACAAAAGGUGCAGUAUUGACUUUUGACAUAGCAAAUCCUAAAUGAUAAAUCACUGUUUUAAGUUAAUUAUAUCCAAUUCUGUUGCUUUCCCAAAUCAGUCAUGCUAAAUAUUUGCACCAAUCCUGUUGAAUUUCACCGCUAAUUUCCAACAAAAACACCCAUAACAUUGGCAUUCUCAUAAGGUAAUAAGGGAUAGGAGUAGAAUUAGGCCAUUCGGCCCAUCAAGUCUACCACCAUUCAAUCAUGGCUGAUCUAUCUCUCCCUCCUAACCACAUUCUUCUGCCUUCUCCGCAUAACCCCUGACACCUGUACUAAUCAGGAAUCUAUCUAUCUCUGCCUUAUCAUAUCCACUGACUUGGCCUCCACAGCCUUCUGUGGCAAAGAAUUUCACAGAUUCACCACCUUUUGACUAAAGAAAUGUUUCCUCAUCUCCUUCCUAUAAGAACGUCCUUUAAUUCUGAGGCUAUGAUCACUGGUCCUAGACUCUCCCACUAGUAGAAACAUCCUCUCCACAUCAACUCUAACCAAGCCUUUCACUAUUCUGUUCAAGAAGGAACUGCAGAUGCUGGAAGAUCGAAGGUACAGAAAAAUGCUGGAGAAACUCAACGGGUGCAGCAGCAUCUAUGGAGCGAAGGAAAUAGGUGACGUUUCGGGCUGAAACC
This is a long non-coding RNA of Leucoraja erinaceus (little skate), 2073 nucleotides long. RefSeq lists it as uncharacterized. The record is from RefSeq and is a predicted model, not a curated record. NCBI's taxonomy places the organism in Eukaryota, Metazoa, Chordata, Chondrichthyes, Rajiformes, Rajidae. The transcript has 3 exons.